RNAcentral lists this non-coding RNA (25 nucleotides) under Mus musculus (house mouse). RNAcentral also lists the same sequence under 1 other name. The record is from RNAcentral. Lineage: Eukaryota; Metazoa; Chordata; Mammalia; Rodentia; Muridae.
UCCAACUCAAGAAGGAUCAGGUGGU